GAUGAACGCUAGCGAUAGGCUUAACACAUGCAAGUCGAGGGGCAGCACAAGGUAGCUUGCUAUCUGGGUGGCGACCGGCGCACGGGUGCGUAACGCGUAUGCAACUUGCCCUAUACAGGAGGAUAACCCGUCGAAAGACGGACUAAUACUGCGUAUGCUCACAACUUGGCAUCGAGUGGUGAGGAAAGAAAUUCGGUAUAGGAUAGGCAUGCGUCCCAUUAGCUUGUUGGUGAGGUAACGGCUCACCAAGGCAACGAUGGGUAGGGGAACUGAGAGGUUUAUCCCCCACACUGGUACUGAGACACGGACCAGACUCCUACGGGAGGCAGCAGUGAGGAAUAUUGGUCAAUGGGCGCGAGCCUGAACCAGCCAAGUCGCGUGAAGGAUGACUGUCUUAUGGAUUGUAAACUUCUUUUAUACGGGAAUAACAAGAGUCACGUGUGACUCCCUGCAUGUACCGUAUGAAUAAGCAUCGGCUAACUCCGUG
RNAcentral lists this ribosomal RNA (487 nucleotides) under uncultured bacterium. Its description in RNAcentral is "partial 16S ribosomal RNA". It matches the Rfam family "Bacterial small subunit ribosomal RNA", at positions 28 to 507 of the family's 1533-position model. The record is from RNAcentral.